Molecule: ribosomal RNA, 633 nt
Filed under: Triticum aestivum (bread wheat)
Lineage: Eukaryota; Viridiplantae; Streptophyta; Magnoliopsida; Poales; Poaceae
Description: partial small subunit ribosomal RNA
Source: RNAcentral
AUGCACACUUCUUCCUCCUCUCUUCUUCUUCCUCCUCUCUUCCCCAUCGUCGGCCGCACACCAUUUCCCCCCGCUCACUGCUCGCCCGCCCGCGCCAUCUUCCUUGGUAGCUCACGCGUACCAUAUCCCCCCGCCCACUGCUCGGCCACACACGCCAUCUUCUUCGCUCGCCCACCCGAAUCCACUUCCCCGCUGGCUCGCAGGCAUCGAAAACCCCACAACUUCAAGAAGGAUUGGCCGGUGCUGCCGGCUAGCGUCAAGUUCGAUCCCACGGAUCAGGAGCUGAUCGAGCACCUUGAGGACAAAGUGAAUGCUGACAGUGCGAGAUCUCACCCUCUCAUCGAUUUGUUCAUACCAACCAUCGACAGCGAGCACGACAUAUGCUACACCCAUCCUGAGAAACUUCCAAGUAUCACACUGAGUGGCCUAAGCAAGCAUUUCUUCCAGCGCAAUUCCAGUGCGUUCAAAAGGGGCACGUGGACGCGUCGCAAGAUAAAGUCGGAGUGCGGCAUGCACGCGAUGUGGCACAAGACCGGCAAUACCUUGCCGGUGAUGGUCAAUGGUUGGCAGACGGGCAGCAAAAAGGUUCUCGUGCUGCGCACCAACAAGAACUUCGACCAUUCCCGCAAAUGA